CAACAAACAACAAACAACAACAAAAACAACGAACAACAAGAACAAAACAAGAACAAGAACAAGAACAACAAGAACAACAACAACAAAAAGGAAGGCGACGACGGCGACGACAACGAUAACAACAAUGAUAAUGACAAGAAUAACAACAAUGACAACAACAACAACAACGACUACGACGACUAAAGUGACAACAACGACAACGACAACAUCAAUAACAACAACAACAACAACAAAAACAACGAAGACGACAACAAUGAUGAAAACAACGACAAUGAUGAGAACUACGAGAACAACGAGAACAACAACAACAAUGAAAACUGCGCAAACAGCGACAACAGUGACAACAGUGACAACAAAGCCAACAAC
Molecule: long non-coding RNA, 366 nt
Filed under: Hordeum vulgare
Lineage: Eukaryota; Viridiplantae; Streptophyta; Magnoliopsida; Poales; Poaceae
Description: long non-coding RNA (HVUL_LNC000924)
Source: RNAcentral